Molecule: unclassified non-coding RNA, 1488 nt
Filed under: Polistes fuscatus (common paper wasp)
Lineage: Eukaryota; Metazoa; Arthropoda; Insecta; Hymenoptera; Vespidae
Description: multivesicular body subunit 12A, transcript variant X3
Source: RNAcentral
AAGAUAAUAUUUAGAGUAUUACGUGUUGUUUUUUUUAUCGAUCGUAGAAACGGACGAAAGGUCAAGUUAUUUAGAAUGUAUCUUUACCAUCUCAAAAUUACAGCGAUGUCAAAGAAAAGCGGUAGUAAAAUGUUGGUACAUCAAUUAUCUACCGUUCUGCCAGAUGAUAGACCCAUAACUGCCAUUAAUAUUAUUGAGGACGUAGAAAAAUGUCCACCAAAUUUUACAGUAGUUUCUAGAACGUACGAUCAAGACACUGAUGCAGAUUUAUGGAGAGAGACCGGAUUGUUUAUCAAAAAGAAAGGUAGAUAUAUAUGUUUUUCCAAGACGGAAGGUUCACCCCAUUGCAUAGUGGAAGAUAUCACCAUUAUCAAUGAACGAGAAAUGCCACCAGAAGGAUACAGUAUUAUCUCCCAUACCAUAGAUUCCAUGCAGAAGGCAUGGAGGAAGAAACAAUUGUGUUAUAAAAUGAAAAACAAGGAUUUGUGUUCUAAAGCUGUAACCGAUAUAAUUAUAUGUAGUAGAAUUGUACAUAAAGCGUCUAAAAUGGCACCCAACGGUUUUGCCGCAGCUGGCGUAAUAAAUGGAGUAUGCGUUUGUUACAAAACUGUGGAUAUAACGAACGGACAACCAAAUUCUCAAUCUUAUAUUAACAUAGAUAAACUAUUAAUGCAAAAUGCUUCUCCAAAUCCUUCAAAUGGUACGCCUCAUCGAGCACCACCUGAGAGGCCACCCAAACCCAAGUUUUCUCCCAAACCAAAUAAUGGUAUUUAUUCUCAAAUUGGAGCAGCUCUCGUUGGAAAGGAUACAGACGAAUCCAAUGAUAGGGAUUACGAAGUGUUAAGUCCUAGUGCGAGAUUGAGGCCUACGAGACCAGCUCCUCAACCUCCCACCACUUCAGUCAUCGGUUCCACACCAAUUUAUGGUACACUGCCAGGUUCUUCCGAUUUAGAUGGAGUCCCAUUCGUUCUCAAUCCUCGUCUUAAUAUUCAUUCUGAUUCUGCCAUAUAUAAAUUUCCUACAAUCAAAAUGUGGACGCAAAAAGAUUUGGACAAAGAGUUUUGCUACGAUUUUCGUGCAGAAAGAGAAACUUGAAAAUACCAAUGUGCCAAAUUAUUUGUAUGAUAAAGUCAUACAUUUUUUUGUUGUCUAUUCAUCCGUACUGACUAUAUAGUACUAGCCGAGUGUAAUAGAGUGCCUGAAUGAGUGAUUUAUAUUAAUUUCCAACCAAGGAAUAUCAGUUUAUGCAUUCUCUAUGACAACAUUAUAGUUAUAGCUUCUCAGCAACGCGUGUUCCCGACGAUAAGGAAAUCUUUAAAAAAGGAGAGACAAAUUCUGUUAUAAUAUAUUCGGACUGAUUAUGCAACUACCAGUUAAAAUCAAAUUAAUAAUCAUGUAUUAUAUAAUGUUAUCACAAAUUCGUGAUAUUUAUCUAGCUGUCGAAUCAAUGUGAAACGUAAGAUAAUAAUUAUAAUUCAUUUCAAUGAA